CUGGGGCGCUGGACCCGGGGAACCCAAAGGCCGGGCCUUCCGAAAGGUACGCGCGCGCCACUGCGCGUGCGUGAGCGCGCUGGGGUGGUGCGUUUGUGGCCUGCGGCGGCCGGCGUGUGCGCACGCGUGCCUGGUGGGGGCGGUGUUUUCUCUUUCAGCCCGCGGCUACCCGGGGGGAUGCCGGGAGUGAGGCCUUCCAGCAGCCACGCGGUCGGAGCCGAAAGGGUCUCCAGGUAGUGCCCAGAAGGGGAAACCGAGGCCCAGAGACACUGGUCCCGCACCGACCACCGGGGUCCCGCACCGACCACACCGACAUCUUCCCAAGUUCAGAGUGCAGUUACAGAAUUUCAAAAAUCAUUCUUUGAUCGUCCUAGUUGUUCAAGAUUCCACAUAUAAGCGAUCCUGGGCAUAUAUCUGGAGAAAACUAUAAUACAAAAAGAUACAUGCACCCCAGUGUUCGCUGCAGCACUAUUUACAAUAGCCAAGACAUGGAAGCAACCUAAAUGUCCAUCAACAGAUGAAUGCAUAAAAAAGAUGUGGUACAUAUAUACAGUGGAAUAUUACUCAGCCAUAAAAAAGAACAAAAUAAUACCAUUUGCAGCAACAUGGAUGGACCUAGAGAUUCUCAUACUGAAGAAAAGCAACAGAUGGCAUCUACACUUUAUAUGCCAAGAUGCUCUCUGAGAGUUUGGAGAGAGUCUGGGAGCAGCGUGAUGCGGACCAGGCCGGUUCCAGACUGAGGCAGAGCUGGAGUCUCCUCCCCAGGCUCCACAGCUCUCAGAGCAAGGCCGGAACAAGCUGGACUGUGGGCCUUUUGCUCUCGCAGAAUCUGGAAUUCACCUUGGAUUUUGGAAUCUGGAGAAUAAGCAUGUGGGAUCUUAGCUCCCCAACCAGGGAUCGAACCCGCACUCCCUGCAUUGGAAGGCAAAGUCUUUAACCACUGGACCACCAGGGAAGUCCCUAUUGCAGCACUAUUUACAAUAGCCAGGACAUGGAAGCAACCUAAAUGUCCAUCAACAGAAGAAUGGAUAAAGAAGAUGUGGUACAUAUAUGCAAUGGAAUAUUACUCAGCCAUAAAAAGGAACGAAAUUGUGCAAUUUGCAGAGAUGUGGAUGGACCUAGAGCCUGUCAUACAGAGUGAAGCAGAGAGAUCGCCAAAGCGCCCGGACAGUACCGCCAGCGCCUUCGCAGAAGCCCAGACUGGAGGCUGCGAGAACGAGGGUCAGCUCUCCGGUCGCCCACCCAACCCUGCGCCGCCCCCGGUGGCGUUCAGACAGCCUGUUUCAGGAGCCACAUGCGCUGGGUCUGCUCACUCAGACUGUUUAAGGUUUUGAGCUCAGUGGAAUAAGAAGUUUCCCUGCAGAUCUACGUGGCCUCUGGACUGAAAUACAGAAUACUUGGCAUCAGCCAGCUUUCCCUUUUUUCCCCACGCCUGUCCGCUGAGGAACACCCGGAGCUGGCAGAAGGGCAGGUAGGGGAGGGACACUUGGC
This is a long non-coding RNA of Physeter macrocephalus (sperm whale), 1491 nucleotides long. RefSeq lists it as uncharacterized. The record is from RefSeq and is a predicted model, not a curated record. The transcript has 5 exons. Lineage: Eukaryota; Metazoa; Chordata; Mammalia; Artiodactyla; Physeteridae.